This 188-nucleotide ribosomal RNA is filed under the name uncultured bacterium. RNAcentral's name for it is "partial 16S ribosomal RNA". It matches the Rfam family "Bacterial small subunit ribosomal RNA", at positions 1313 to 1500 of the family's 1533-position model. The record is from RNAcentral.
GCCUUCCAUGAAGCCGGAAUUGCUAGUAAUGGCAGGUCAGCAUACUGCCGUGAAUACGUUCCCGGGCCUUGUACACACCGCCCGUCACACCAUGAGAGUUGGGGAUACCCGAAGCCUGUGAGCUAACAGUAAUGGAGCAGCAGUCGAAGAUAGAAUCAAUGAUUGGGGUGAAGUCGUAACAAGGUAGC